RNAcentral lists this transfer RNA (74 nucleotides) under Prevotellaceae bacterium. RNAcentral describes it as "tRNA-Ala". It matches the Rfam family "tRNA". From Rfam's summary of the family: Transfer RNA (tRNA) molecules are approximately 80 nucleotides in length. Their secondary structure includes four short double-helical elements and three loops (D, anti-codon, and T loops). Further hydrogen bonds mediate the characteristic L-shaped molecular structure. tRNAs have two regions of fundamental functional importance: the anti-codon, which is responsible for specific mRNA codon recognition, and the 3' end, to which the tRNAs corresponding amino acid is attached (by aminoacyl-tRNA synthetases). tRNAs cope with the degeneracy of the genetic code in two manners: having more than one tRNA (with a specific anti-codon) for a particular amino acid; and 'wobble' base-pairing, i.e. permitting non-standard base-pairing at the 3rd anti-codon position. Lineage: Bacteria; Pseudomonadati; Bacteroidota; Bacteroidia; Bacteroidales; Prevotellaceae. The record is from RNAcentral.
GGGGGAUUAGCUCAGCUGGCUAGAGCACCUGCCCUGCAAGCAGGGGGUCAUCGGUUCGAAUCCGUUAUCCUCCA